This 764-nucleotide long non-coding RNA is filed under the name Vulpes vulpes (red fox). RNAcentral describes it as "lncRNA (ENSVVUG00000006522.1)". Lineage: Eukaryota; Metazoa; Chordata; Mammalia; Carnivora; Canidae. The record is from RNAcentral.
GGCAUAUUCACCUCUUCUCACACAUACUGUACGUUGGAUGUCAUCAAGCCUUUUUUUUUAACUGAAAUAUAAUUGGUAUACAAUAUUAAUACAGUCUUUUUUUAGUUCAUUGGUGUACCCAUCUCCAUGCAAGUUUUGGUAAGGGGAGACAAAAGAAGAAGAAAUUCUAGUGUUUGAUGUCAUCAUCAUCAUCAUCAUCAUCCCAAACAUUUAUUAAAAACCUUGGCCAGUCAUCUGAGAUAUCACCUUACUGGCAAGACUACAUGGCACUUAGACCACACUGCUUAAUGGACUCCUGUGAGAGGAAAGGGGUUGGCUCAUCAAGCAAGAUGGUCUCUCUGAAUCAGAUCUGCUUGGUGCAAGUGCGAAAGAGACCACAGAUGGAAGCUCACAGAUGGAAGCCUGCUGAUCAUACAGCUGUUUCUUUGUUGGUCCCACUGAUCUUCCCGGGAAGGAAAUGGACAGCUGUCACACUCUGGCCCACUAGGCAUUGGUUGCCAACUGGGAAAGUCAUCAGAAAACUUCCUUGAAAUGGUCAUUGGGUAAGUCAUUUGGAUAUUGCUCUCAGCUACAUCUGUUCCUCAUACUGAGAGUCAGUGUGUUGGUUUCCUAAGGGCUGGCUCUUAAAUCUACCAUAUCUUGUUUUAAUAAUGAACACAAUCAGAUUUGUUUGGACUUUGGAAAAUUAUACCCGCUGAAGCCCCAAUUUUUUCAUGCAGGUAGAGUCUAAUAAAACAAUUUUUAGGGGUAGAAUGAAAGGUCCA